Dreissena polymorpha is the source of this 208-nucleotide long non-coding RNA. RefSeq lists it as uncharacterized. Lineage: Eukaryota; Metazoa; Mollusca; Bivalvia; Myida; Dreissenidae. The transcript is spliced from 3 exons. The record is from RefSeq and is a predicted model, not a curated record.
AAACACCCCUGCCUCUGCCAUGGAGUUGGAAGGGCGAGACACUGACCCAGUAGUCGAUCAUGUGGCAACAACUAGGAACUCGGACCAGCUGGCAAACAACCCUGCCUCUGCCAUGGAGUUGGAAGGGGGGAGACACUGACCCAGUGGUCGAUCAUGUAGCAACAGCCAGGGUGAGUCAAAGCGGACACAGUUGAUGAGGAAAUAUGCA